AUUGAACGCUGGCGGCAUGCCUUACACAUGCAAGUCGAACGGUAACAGGUUAAGCUGACGAGUGGCGAACGGGUGAGUAAUAUAUCGGAACGUGCCCAGUCGUGGGGGAUAACGCAGCGAAAGCUGUGCUAAUACCGCAUACGAUCUAUGGAUGAAAGCGGGGGAUCGCAAGACCUCGCGCGAUUGGAGCGGCCGAUAUCAGAUUAGCUAGUUGGGGGGGUAAAGGCCUACCAAGGCGACGAUCUGUAGCUGGUCUGAGAGGACGACCAGCCACACUGGAACUGAGACACGGUCCAGACUCCUACGGGAGGCAGCAGUGGGGAAUUUUGGACAAUGGGCGCAAGCCUGAUCCAGCAAUGCCGCGUGUAGGAUGAAGGCCUUCGGGUUGUAAACUCCUGUUAAGUGGGAAGAAAUAGCCAUCCUUAAUACGGGUGGCGAAUGACGGUACCAUUAGAGAAAGCACCGGCUAAUCUCGUGCCAGCCGCCGCCGUAA
Molecule: ribosomal RNA, 493 nt
Filed under: uncultured bacterium
Lineage: Bacteria
Description: partial 16S ribosomal RNA
Rfam family: Bacterial small subunit ribosomal RNA
Source: RNAcentral